GUUAACGUUUGGGUAAUUGCUGCUGCAUUUUUUUGCAGUAGAGGAAAGUCCAUGCUCGCACGGACUGAGAUGUCCGUAGUGUUCGUGCCUGGCGAAAAAAUAAGCUUGGGCAGCAGUCUUGGAUUGCUGACGGCUGGGAAAAUGCCUAAGUCCUUUUGGAUAUGGCAUGAAUACCUAUAAAAGUGCCACAGUGACGGAGCCUUUACAGAAAUGUAAAGGGUGGAACGAGGUAAACCCCACGAGCGAGAAACCCAAAUUAAUGGUAGGGGCGCUUUCUUCCUUGGAAUUGAACGAGGAGAAGGACAGAAGCUAUGCUUCUGUAGAUAGAUGAUUACCGCCGAAGUACGAGACGUGAGUCGCUUGCAGUACUGAGGAACAAAACAUGGCUUACAGAACGUUACCAUAU
RNAcentral lists this RNase P RNA (406 nucleotides) under Peribacillus butanolivorans. RNAcentral describes it as "Bacillus butanolivorans bacterial RNase P". It matches the Rfam family "Bacterial RNase P class B". From Rfam's summary of the family: Ribonuclease P (RNase P) is a ubiquitous endoribonuclease, found in archaea, bacteria and eukarya as well as chloroplasts and mitochondria. Its best characterised activity is the generation of mature 5'-ends of tRNAs by cleaving the 5'-leader elements of precursor-tRNAs. The record is from RNAcentral. Lineage: Bacteria; Bacillati; Bacillota; Bacilli; Caryophanales; Bacillaceae.